RNAcentral lists this ribosomal RNA (450 nucleotides) under uncultured bacterium. RNAcentral's name for it is "partial 16S ribosomal RNA". It matches the Rfam family "Bacterial small subunit ribosomal RNA", at positions 354 to 796 of the family's 1533-position model. The record is from RNAcentral.
GUGGGGAAUCUUCCGCAAUGGACGAAAGUCUGACGGAGCAACGCCGCGUGAGUGAAGAAGGUCUUCGGAUCGUAAAGCUCUGUUGUACGGGACGAAUGUUGGAGGCGUGAAUAAUGCCAUCAAAUGACGGUACUGUACGAGGAAGCCACGGCUAACUACGUGCCAGCAGCCGCGGUAAUACGUAGGUGGCGAGCGUUGUCCGGAAUUAUUGGGCGUAAAGGGAGCGCAGGUGGGAAGGUAAGUCUGUUUUAACAGCGUCGGGCUCAACCCGAUGAGGGAACAGAAACUAUUUUUCUUGAGUGCAGGAGAGGAAAGCGGAAUUCCUAGUGUAGCGGUGAAAUGCGUAGAUAUUAGGAGGAACACCAGUGGCGAAGGCGGCUUUCUGGACUGUAACUGACACUGAGGCUCGAAAGCCAGGGGAGCGAACGGGAUUAGAUACCCUAGUAGUCC